UCUGAGAGAGUGACUACAGGCUCUCUGAGCCACGAGAUGCUUGAAUACAGACAGAAUAAACAUAUCAAUGUACUAAUAAAAUACAGAUCACAUAAAUGUGCAACAAUGUGAACUUGGACACACCACACGGAAGUCAUCCUCAUAUUUAAAUGCACCAUCUCUAUAUCUUGGAUGGCCUGAGGCAAAACACAACCCAGAAGAAGUACGAGAAGAAGCUUUUUCCAACUGUAGUCGUUGCUUGUUUACUUCAUUCAAGCGUUGCCGUGGAGAAAAAGGGAGACGCCAUUAUAUGCUUCAAAUGCACAAUAGACAAAUCUGGGUUUGUUUCCCUUCAGCUACGAUGACGUUGAUGCUUGACGACACUGAAUGGCAUCUCUUAAAAUAUCUGCAAUCAAGCGUGCGCAA
This is a long non-coding RNA of Cyprinus carpio carpio, 405 nucleotides long. Lineage: Eukaryota; Metazoa; Chordata; Actinopteri; Cypriniformes; Cyprinidae. The record is from Ensembl.